AUGAGAGGGUAGCUUGAAGGAGUAGGGGAAAGAGAAAAGCUGGAGCUGUUGCCGAGCAUUGUAAUUGUGACAGCAGCAUCAGUAGCAGCUGCCUUCUCUCCCGGGCUUCCGAGACUCGGCGGUGACACCAUCCAGCAGACGAUUUCCAUCAAAUGAAGACACGUUAAGACUUGUCCAGCGCAGGCCUUUCAUUACGACCAGUCGGCUGUACAUGGAGACCCCCAUUUGGGCA
Molecule: long non-coding RNA, 232 nt
Organism: Syngnathus typhle (broad-nosed pipefish)
Lineage: Eukaryota; Metazoa; Chordata; Actinopteri; Syngnathiformes; Syngnathidae
Exons: 3
Source: RefSeq, a predicted model, not a curated record